RNAcentral lists this transfer RNA (72 nucleotides) under Bos taurus (domestic cattle). It matches the Rfam family "tRNA". From Rfam's summary of the family: Transfer RNA (tRNA) molecules are approximately 80 nucleotides in length. Their secondary structure includes four short double-helical elements and three loops (D, anti-codon, and T loops). Further hydrogen bonds mediate the characteristic L-shaped molecular structure. tRNAs have two regions of fundamental functional importance: the anti-codon, which is responsible for specific mRNA codon recognition, and the 3' end, to which the tRNAs corresponding amino acid is attached (by aminoacyl-tRNA synthetases). tRNAs cope with the degeneracy of the genetic code in two manners: having more than one tRNA (with a specific anti-codon) for a particular amino acid; and 'wobble' base-pairing, i.e. permitting non-standard base-pairing at the 3rd anti-codon position. Lineage: Eukaryota; Metazoa; Chordata; Mammalia; Artiodactyla; Bovidae. The record is from Rfam by way of RNAcentral. RNAcentral also lists the same sequence under 4 other names.
UCCCUGGUGGUCCAGUGGCUAAGACUCCUAGCUCCAAUGCAGGGGGCCCAGGUUCAAUCCCUGAUCAGGGAA